UUUUGAAAAUAAUUUAAAGUNUAAUCUGCCCACUGAUAAAUAUUAAAGGGCUGCAGUAUAUUGACUGUACAAAGGUAGCAUAAUCAAUAGUCUUUUAAUUGAAGACUUGUAUGAAGGAUUUAAUGAAAUAUAAUCUGUCUCUUAUUUAUAAUUAGAAUUUAAUUUUUUAGUUAAAAAGCUAAAAUAGAUUUAAAAGACGAGAAGACCCUAUAGAGUUUUAUAAUUAAUUAAUUUUGGGUUAUAUAUAUAAUUUAAAAUUAAAAAUUAAUUAAUUAUUUUAUUGGGGUGAUAAAAAAAUUAAUUAAACUUUUUUUUAUUAAAGACAUAAAUAAGUGAAUAAAUGAUCCAUUAUUAAUGAUUAAAAGAAAAAAUUACCUUAGGGAUAACAGCGUAAUUUUUUUUUUUAGUUCAAAUAAGAAAAAGAGAUUGCGACCUCGAUGUUGGAUUAAGAUAAAAUAUAAAUGCAAAAGUUUAAAAUUUUGAUCUGUUCGAUCAUUAAAAUCUUACAUGAUCUGA
RNAcentral lists this ribosomal RNA (516 nucleotides) under Danaus chrysippus (African queen). Its description in RNAcentral is "partial 16S ribosomal RNA". It matches the Rfam family "Archaeal large subunit ribosomal RNA", at positions 1921 to 2677 of the family's 2987-position model. The record is from RNAcentral. Lineage: Eukaryota; Metazoa; Arthropoda; Insecta; Lepidoptera; Nymphalidae.